Molecule: ribosomal RNA, 253 nt
Filed under: uncultured bacterium
Lineage: Bacteria
Description: partial 16S ribosomal RNA
Rfam family: Bacterial small subunit ribosomal RNA
Source: RNAcentral
UACGUAGGGAGCAAGCGUUGUUCGGAAUUACUGGGCGUAAAGCGUGCGCAGGCGGUUUUGUAAGCCAGAUGUGAAAUCCCCGGGCUUAACCUGGGAAUGGCAUUUGGGACUGCAAGGCUUGAGUGCGGCAGAGGAGACUGGAAUUCCUGGUGUAGCGGUGAAAUGCGCAGAUAUCAGGAGGAACACCGGUGGCGAAGGCGGGUCUCUGGGCCGAUACUGACGCUGAGGAGCGAAAGCGUGGGGAGCGAACAGG